AGUGAACGCUGGCGGUAGGCCUAACACAUGCAAGUCGAACGGCAGCACAGUAAGAGCUUGCUCUUACGGGUGGCGAGUGGCGGACGGGUGAGGAAUACAUCGGAAUCUACUUUUUCGUGGGGGAUAACGUAGGGAAACUUACGCUAAUACCGCAUACGACCUACGGGUGAAAGCAGGGGAUCUUCGGACCUUGCGCGAUUGAAUGAGCCGAUGUCGGAUUAGCUAGUUGGCGGGGUAAAGGCCCACCAAGGCGACGAUCCGUAGCUGGUCUGAGAGGAUGAUGAGCCACACUGGAACUGAGACACGGUCCAGACUCCUACGGGAGGCAGCAGUGGGGACUAUUGGACAAUGGGCGCAAGCCUGAUCCAGCCAUACCGCGUGGGUGAAGAAGGCCUUCGGGUUGUAAAGCCCUUUUGUUGGGAAAGAAAAGCAGCAGGUUAAUACCCCGCUGUUCUGACGGUACCCAAAGAAUAAGCACCGGCUAACUUCGUG
This 492-nucleotide ribosomal RNA is filed under the name uncultured bacterium. Its description in RNAcentral is "partial 16S ribosomal RNA". It matches the Rfam family "Bacterial small subunit ribosomal RNA", at positions 29 to 507 of the family's 1533-position model. The record is from RNAcentral.